RNAcentral lists this transfer RNA (65 nucleotides) under Stephanitis mendica. RNAcentral describes it as "tRNA-His". The record is from RNAcentral. Lineage: Eukaryota; Metazoa; Arthropoda; Insecta; Hemiptera; Tingidae.
AUCUAAAUAGUUUAUUAUAGAAUAUUAAUUUGUGGUGUUAAAGGUGUGAAUAUUUUCUUUAGAUC